AUUAAAUAUUAUUAAUAAGGUGUUUCUUUGUAAAAAGAAAUGAAAAGGGAAAGCGGUUAAAAUCCGCUGCAGCCCCCGCUACUGUAAUGAUGAUGAAACCUAAUAUCUCACUGAAGCUAAUGCUUUGGGAAGAGAAGGGAGUAAGAUGAAUCUGAGCCAGGAGACCUGCCUUGUUAGUUUAAACAAA
This 187-nucleotide non-coding RNA is filed under the name Clostridium magnum. RNAcentral also lists the same sequence under 1 other name. The record is from RNAcentral. Lineage: Bacteria; Bacillati; Bacillota; Clostridia; Eubacteriales; Clostridiaceae.